GACUACUGGGGUAUCUAAGCCUGUUUGCUCCCCACGCUUUCGCUUCUCAGCGUCAGGAAAGGUCCAGAGAACCGCCUUCGCCACCGGUGUUCUUCCUGAUAUCUGCGCAUUCCACCGCUCCACCAAGAAUUCCGUUCUCCCCUACCUUCCUCUAGUCUGCCCGUAUCGAGAGCAGGCUCAGGGUUGAGCCCUGAGUUUUCACUUUCGACGCGACAGACCGCCUACAAGCUCUUUACGCCCAAUAAUUCCGGACAACGCUCGCACCCUACGUAUCACCGCGGCUGCUGGCACGUAGUUGGCCGGUGCUUCUUCUGCAGGUACCGUCAUUUUCACUUCGUCCCUGCUGAAAGCGGUUUACAACCCGAAGGCCGUCAUCCCGCACGCGGCGUUGCUGCGUCAGGCUUUCGCCCAUUGCGCAAUAUUCCCCACUGCAGCCCCCCGUAGG
Molecule: ribosomal RNA, 445 nt
Filed under: uncultured Propionibacteriaceae bacterium
Lineage: Bacteria; Bacillati; Actinomycetota; Actinomycetes; Propionibacteriales; Propionibacteriaceae
Description: partial 16S ribosomal RNA
Source: RNAcentral